CGCCGCGACAGUGGCGAUUUGUUACCGGAUUGCGGGCCACGUUAAACAAGCCGCUAAAGAGGUCAGGAUGAAGGAGCC
RNAcentral lists this non-coding RNA (78 nucleotides) under Shimia marina. Lineage: Bacteria; Pseudomonadati; Pseudomonadota; Alphaproteobacteria; Rhodobacterales; Roseobacteraceae. The record is from RNAcentral.